CUAGAGGGCGGCGAGGUCUCUCCGCGCAGCGUCCGAGGGGAUGCGGCGCGCCCCCGACUGGGUGCAGCGGCAGGCCGCCCCCGGCAGCAAGUGCCGGGUGCCAUGGCAACGGCGGGAAUUUCCCGGUCGGGGAGGCCGGAAGCAGCCCCAGCCGGGCUCGCGGCAGCGAAAGCAAAAUCCGAUCUCUCUCCCGGGGGAGCAAAAUGGACGAAAGGCGACCCCCCAGGCAGGGGCGCUGGGUGCCUUGGGAAUCCGAGGAAUCCCUUCUCUUUGCCAGUCGGAGGGGACUAGAUGGAGCCGAAGGGGCCGGAGAUGGGCCGAGCGCUGCCCCCCGGGGGUCCUCGGCGCCGGGCGCAGCUUACGAGCGCAGCGCAGCAGGCUCCAUUCCCGGCCGCCGCCGCUCAGCCCAUUACGCAAACCUGGCGGGUCCAACCAACCCCGCUGUGCCGCCGCUGCUGGAACCCAGGAGGCGUGCUUGCAGGCUUCGGGCACUACGCGGGGCUGGAAAUACCACGCACUGCCCCUUCGCCUAGACCCCCGCUCGGGCCACGCGGGUUCUGCCCUCAAAGCUGGUAGCUGCCCCAGACUUGGGGGUGGGGGGAGGGGAAGGGGCGAGGCUGGCGCCCCCUCCCGCUUUUGGCUCCCGCGUUCGUUGCAGCAGCUGUUGCCAAAUGAACCCCGGAAUGCGGACGUGCAAACCCUCCACCCCACCCCCAGCCACACACGUCGCGGUCAGAGAACUGGGAAGGGGGCGCUGGGUCCGAGGUUCUGGAAAAGCAAGAACUCACCUGCAAACAGGCAGUCCUCAGCUCUGGACUUCUGGAUCACGACGUCGAUAUCCUUCUGAAUUCGGUCUUGCCUUGAACACAUCCCCAUUAAAUAAAUCCUUGGAAAAGAAGCAGCCGCUAUUUCCACCCCACCCCCCUCGCACGCUUUCAGCUUUCGUAAAUAUUCAGUUAAAAAUGAAACCUCUGGCCGAGGCAGGGGCUGAAGGCCAAGUGGUUUCGGAAGUGAUCCUGGGUGAGAGGAGGAGGAGGAGGAGGAGGAAGAGGUGGAGGAGGAGGGGGAGGUCGGCUUUCCAUUUCCAGAUGUGACCGCCCAGCUGCUGCUCGCCGCUGCUGGAUUCCAGUUUCCUCCCCUUCUGGCGACGGAUUGGUGAUGACACCGAGUCUCACUUUCUCCUUCCCCCGCCGGGACCAACCGCCGUGGGGGGCCGAGGGUGCCGGGGACGGCCGGAGAGCGAUCACGGGCUGGGCGGCGGAAGCCGACGAGGGGCGAGCCCCGCUCCGGCUCAAGCGAUCACACCCCUCACGGCCCGCACUCCGGCCUUCCACACCCGUGCACACUCUCGCCCGCGGGCGGCGGCAGCCGUGCCCAGGCUGCUGCAGCGCCACCCGCCCGCCGCGGACCCUCCGCGCCCUCCGCCUAGUCACCCGGCCCGGCCGCGGGCCGCCGGGGCUCGCAGAGUGUCAGCCAUCCCGGGCAGGAGUCGCGUCUCCCCACCCCGACCUCCACUCGCGCCGGGAGCUGAGCGGCAGUGUAGGUAGUGAAGACUCCCUGGGGCUCCCAGCCUUCCCUCUCCGCGCUCUCCCCCCGUCACUUUUAUGAAUUCGACUCCACUUUCUAAAGGAAUUAUGAGUCUUGUGGCAAACACAAACCGGAGUGGCCGGGAGGGGGAAAAGGGGGGAAAAGAAAAUCUUUAAAAAUUAAAAAAAUAAUAAAACGAA
This 1727-nucleotide long non-coding RNA is filed under the name Homo sapiens (human). RNAcentral describes it as "uncharacterized LOC100996740 (LOC100996740)". Lineage: Eukaryota; Metazoa; Chordata; Mammalia; Primates; Hominidae. The record is from RNAcentral.